RNAcentral lists this transfer RNA (60 nucleotides) under Ictidomys tridecemlineatus (thirteen-lined ground squirrel). RNAcentral describes it as "Spermophilus tridecemlineatus (thirteen-lined ground squirrel) tRNA". It matches the Rfam family "tRNA", at positions 6 to 65 of the family's 71-position model. Rfam says of the family: Transfer RNA (tRNA) molecules are approximately 80 nucleotides in length. Their secondary structure includes four short double-helical elements and three loops (D, anti-codon, and T loops). Further hydrogen bonds mediate the characteristic L-shaped molecular structure. tRNAs have two regions of fundamental functional importance: the anti-codon, which is responsible for specific mRNA codon recognition, and the 3' end, to which the tRNAs corresponding amino acid is attached (by aminoacyl-tRNA synthetases). tRNAs cope with the degeneracy of the genetic code in two manners: having more than one tRNA (with a specific anti-codon) for a particular amino acid; and 'wobble' base-pairing, i.e. permitting non-standard base-pairing at the 3rd anti-codon position. The record is from Rfam by way of RNAcentral. Lineage: Eukaryota; Metazoa; Chordata; Mammalia; Rodentia; Sciuridae.
UGUAGCUCAGUGGCAGAGUGCUUGCCUAUCAUGCAAGAGGUUCUGUGUUCAAUCCCAGCA